AUCAUAAGAAAAAUGGUCACCCUUCCCAAACAAAAUGGCCGCUGUGACUAAACAAUCCUCGAGAAAUGGAGUGGAAAAGUACCACCAGACUUGGUCCAGAAUUGGCUGGUACUGAAUGAGUUAAAUAACUCGGGUUGAUGAAGCACAAUGUUUGAGAAAGAUCAGCAAGCUGUGCAGAAGCUCGAUAAUGAUCAUUUUAAUCAUGUGCGCUGAAGUUGGGAAACAUCUAAAACAUGCAGGAUAGUGGCCCUCAAGAACCGAUUUGAUUCGCUCACACACACACACAUCAUUUCAGCUAAUAUAGUGUGAGUACAAGUUACCGGUAUAUAGUGAACUACGUUUUUGCACGGCGUUUCAAAUUCUUGUGCAAAGGAAAAGUCUUUGGACACGCCUGCUCUGAAAUAUAUUAAAACGGCAAAAAGAAAAAUAUAUAAUUUGGCAGACUUUUUUUUUUGUGACCCAAAGGGGAUAUUUGCAACUGACCAUAAUCAUAUCAAAGUAAAUUUGCUUGCUGAAACACAUUAAUAUUCCAGUAAUCAACCUAGGAACAACAAAUACUAUUCACCAGAAGUAUUAAGUCAACAUGAAAAGAGGAACAAAAGGGUUACCGUCAUAGGUACAGUAUAUUUUCCAAAUCCAUUUUUGGUUUGAAUUAAGGGGAAAAUAAUUUUGAUAUUCCUCGAAAGCAAGAAUGGGGAUUUUUUUUUUCUCCCGAUCGGGAACAACUUGUGCAUUAUACACUCAAUACAUUUGGAUAAUUUUCAGUCAUGGCAAUUUGUGAGUUGGAUGAUUUUGAGUUUUAGAGUUCCUCUGAGGGUCAAAAGUUUUGACUUGCCUGGCAGGGCUAAUCAAAUGCUAAUCAAAUGUGCAAAGCGUAGCAUUGCCCACUGUUGCGUCGAAGAAAGGUCCAAAUGACUACAAUUCGUAAAAUGAUAAUGCUUUUAAUGGAGGGCAUCUAGAGGGAAAAAAAAACAACAAAAACGAUCCAGUACUGAUAUGAACAAAGGGAGCAUGGGUGACUAAAUUGCACAAAAUACAGAAUUACCGAAUAGAGAUGACUAUUUUGCGUAACAUUAAGGGUCCUUUGUAUGAGAGGGGCAACGCAUUUGGGACAAGGUGAUUAAACGUGCAUGUUUAUUUGAAAGCACAAAAAAAAAGUUAUUACUUUGGAGUUUAAAGAUCUCCCAUAAAUAGAAUUUAUUUCUGGAUAACAUGGAGUAUAUUCUCUUCUGCUUCAGGAAACUCAAGUGUCUCCGUGUUAAAACAAUACUUUCUUUACACUUCAGUAUAUUCAAAAUAAAAUAAGGCAGCUUACAUUUUGCCGCAGUCUUGUCUGUGUGAAAAGAGUGAACUCUCUUUCUCUCUAUAAGCACUCGUUUUAUGAGAACCAGGGCAGCAUGCGCUGUGGAACCUGUUCCGGUCAACUGAUGGAACCUCCAGGUCGAGACAUGGCCAACAUGGUCCGGUUUGUGGAGAAAAUGAUGGCAGGUGGACGGGUUCAGUAUCGCGGUGUUUUGUCACACGUUGAACAGGGGCAACCGGCAGGAGGGUGGCAAAAAAAAUGCUAACAAUGGGAGCUUUGAUCAUUUCAUGAGUUUGCAUAGCAAACUGUACAUAGCUAGCUAGUGCUGCCACAAUGUAAAGCCACAAACGACAAUAUACACAUUUACAAAUUUACAAAAGGAGGAA
Hippocampus zosterae (dwarf seahorse) is the source of this 1689-nucleotide long non-coding RNA. RefSeq lists it as uncharacterized. The transcript has 3 exons. The record is from RefSeq and is a predicted model, not a curated record. Lineage: Eukaryota; Metazoa; Chordata; Actinopteri; Syngnathiformes; Syngnathidae.